UGCCAGUGGGUUCCGAGUCAUCAAGUUCUGGGCCGAGCCAGUGGGUUCUGAGUCGGGCCAGUAGGUUCUGGGCCAUGUCGGUGGAUUUUAGGCCAUGUCAGCUGGUUCCAGAUCGUCAAAUUUUGGACUGGGCCGGUGGGUUCUGGGCCGGACCAGUGAGUUCUGGGCCGUCGGGUUCUGGACUGUGUCGGCAGAUUUUGGGCCAUCGGAUUCUGGGCCGUGUCGGUG
RNAcentral lists this long non-coding RNA (228 nucleotides) under Elaeis guineensis (African oil palm). Its description in RNAcentral is "long non-coding RNA (EGUI_LNC034009)". The record is from RNAcentral. Lineage: Eukaryota; Viridiplantae; Streptophyta; Magnoliopsida; Arecales; Arecaceae.